GACCCGGUGGCAUAGUCGGUUAUGCGUUUGUCCAAUAUCGCCCAUCUCUGAUCUUCUUUAGGUGCCUGCCAAAUUAGACAAAAUAUCCUCAGUUCGAGUCUGAGCCGGGUCG
Stereum hirsutum FP-91666 SS1 is the source of this 112-nucleotide non-coding RNA. Lineage: Eukaryota; Fungi; Basidiomycota; Agaricomycetes; Russulales; Stereaceae. The record is from the annotation of a RefSeq genome assembly.